ACCGAUCUUAGUCUUCUCUGAAGAAGUGUCUCCUAGAAAGUUGUAGCUAACUUUCUCGCCUUCCGGUAAAGAAAAAAUAAGACACUGGGGUUACCAGGGGAAGCCCGGAUGCGAGAGAAAAAUCCCGGCAAACCCGCUGUGUAUGAGAAGAGAAGAACGCCCUACAAAAUAAGGAAUAGGGCUGCAUUUAGAAUGCCAGACGAAGAUUGCCUAUUCAACCAUGGCAAACUUCUCAAAGCUCAGGAAAUGCGGAGGAAUCCUUGAUCAUGGAUGCAUCCUUAAAGGGGAAAUUUGGAUUGGUACUGUACAUCCAUUUCUGGGACGGUGACCCCUUUGUUGUUCUUUCUAAUCCCGGAUUGUCCCAUUAUUGUCUGUGGACCUCCCGCAGAGUUCUAUACAACAUAAAUACUGUUCUUCCAGGCUUCUGACACAGAAAACUUCGCUGAAAGAAGAGAGAGAAAGAGUCUUCCCCACCAUGAAACCAGGUUGUGUAGAGAUGGAGAAUGUAUGAUUCCAAAGCUGUCACCUGCACUUCCCAGGGGAAGCAAUUUGGGUCAACAUAACACUUCCCCUUCUUAAAAAAGGGUUAUGAAAAGGGGUCAUUUGUAAGUCCGUAUGUAAGUCAAGAAAUAACAGUUAUGUUGAAACAAAUAGUGUACGACUGCAACAUUCACCCAGCAAGUGCAGCUUUUACUAAGGUAUUCCUCAUUAUGACAUCAAGUUCUUUCAAUAUCUAACUUUGUGACCUUCUUUUAUUGCAUGUAUAAAUGAGAACUACUUGAUGAUGCACAACAUUUGUGAAGUUGUAUGUCUCAGCCUUCAGUGGGUUAACUUUAUUUUCACCGACUGGAUAACCGUUCACUGAUUGAAUGCUCUUAUUGAAUGCUUACG
Long non-coding RNA from Esox lucius (northern pike), 891 nucleotides. Lineage: Eukaryota; Metazoa; Chordata; Actinopteri; Esociformes; Esocidae. The record is from Ensembl.